AGUGAACGCUGGCGGUAGGCCUAACACAUGCAAGUCGAACGGCAGCACAGUAAGAGCUUGCUCUUACGGGUGGCGAGUGGCGGACGGGUGAGGAAUACAUCGGAAUCUACUUUUUCGUGGGGGAUAACGUAGGGAAACUUACGCUAAUACCGCAUACGACCUACGGGUGAAAGCAGGGGAUCUUCGGACCUUGCGCGAUUGAAUGAGCCGAUGUCGGAUUAGCUAGUUGGCGGGGUAAAGGCCCACCAAGGCGACGAUCCGUAGCUGGUCUGAGAGGAUGAUCAGCCACACUGGAACUAAGACAUGGUCCAGACUCCUACGGGAGGCAGCAGUGGGGAAUAUUGGACAAUGGGCGCAAGCCUGAUCCAGCCAUACCGCGUGGGUGAAGAAGGCCUUCGGGUUGUAAAGCCCUUUUGUUGGGAAAGAAAAGCAGCAGGUUAAUACCCCGCUGUUCUGACGGUACCCAAAGAAUAAGCACCGGCUAACUUCGUG
Molecule: ribosomal RNA, 492 nt
Filed under: uncultured bacterium
Lineage: Bacteria
Description: partial 16S ribosomal RNA
Rfam family: Bacterial small subunit ribosomal RNA
Source: RNAcentral